RNAcentral lists this microRNA (22 nucleotides) under Heligmosomoides polygyrus. Its description in RNAcentral is "hpo-miR-10131-3p". Lineage: Eukaryota; Metazoa; Nematoda; Chromadorea; Rhabditida; Heligmosomidae. The record is from miRBase by way of RNAcentral.
AUGCGCAUCAGGAAUACACACA